CCUACGGGACGCAGCAGUGGGGAAUAUUGCACAAUGGGGGAAACCCUGAUGCAGCGACGCCGCGUGAGUGAGGAAGUAUUUCGGUAUGUAAAGCUCUACCAGCAGGGAAGAAAAUGACGGUACCUGACCAAGAAGCCCCGGCUAACUACGUGCCAGCAGCCGCGGUAAUACGUAGGGGGCAAGCGUUAUCCGGAUUUACUGGGUGUAAAGGGAGCGUAGGCGGCUGUGUAAGCCAGAAGUGAAAGCCCGGGGCCCAACCCCGGGACUGCUCUUGGAACUGCGGGGCUGGAGUGCAGGAGGGGCAG
RNAcentral lists this ribosomal RNA (305 nucleotides) under uncultured bacterium. RNAcentral describes it as "bacterial SSU rRNA". It matches the Rfam family "Bacterial small subunit ribosomal RNA", at positions 338 to 660 of the family's 1533-position model. The record is from RNAcentral.